RNAcentral lists this long non-coding RNA (531 nucleotides) under Zostera marina. RNAcentral's name for it is "long non-coding RNA (ZMAR_LNC004899)". Lineage: Eukaryota; Viridiplantae; Streptophyta; Magnoliopsida; Alismatales; Zosteraceae. The record is from RNAcentral.
GCUCCUCAGAAUUUUGCUUACUUGCUUUUUCUCAGUUAUUGGAUCUCCUAGUCCAGCCAGAUCAUUAACUAUUUGUGAUAGUCUAAUGUUCAUCUCUGCGAUAGUCUUGUCUUCCUUCAUAGAGAGUCUUUCGAACUGAGAGGUAGCAUGUAAUAACUUAUUUUCUUUAACAUGGGAGGUUCCUUCAUGUAGAUCCUCCAAUGCUUUCCAUACCUUGUGAGUUGUAUCCAAGCAUCGAAUUCUGCUGUACUCAGAUUCAUUGAGUGCUCCAUAUAGAGCAUUCAAUGCUCUUGAGUUGUUGUUUUCCUUGAGGAUGUCCAUUUCUCCCCAAGUCUCUUCAUUGCUUGUUGGAAUUUCAUAAUCCUCUAAUAUGAUUUUCCAUACUCCAUUGUUGAUUGACUUCAAUUAUAACUUCAUCUUGUUCUUCCAGAAGUCAUACUUUACUCCAUCGAACCUGGGAGGUUUGUUUGACACAAGACCAGUGUUGAAUUCACCAUUUGGUGCCAUAGUUGUUGUUGUAAGAUGUUAGUC